Populus nigra (black poplar) is the source of this 1012-nucleotide long non-coding RNA. RefSeq lists it as uncharacterized. The record is from RefSeq and is a predicted model, not a curated record. The transcript is spliced from 3 exons. Lineage: Eukaryota; Viridiplantae; Streptophyta; Magnoliopsida; Malpighiales; Salicaceae.
GUUGCAUUUCCCUGUUGGAGUUUGAUAUUGCUUCAGAGCAUCUUUGUUUGGACUAUUGAUAUGUUGAGAGCAGGAAGAGUGCAAUAGGAUUUUUGGAGCUACAGCCUGUCUCUUCGAUUCUAGGAGCUGAUUUUUUGCAAGCAUCCAGUUCGGAACCUCCUCCGCUGCCUGUGGUGAUGGAUUGAUACCUCUCAGUCAACUUAGGUUACCACAAAAGACCACUCCUCUUCUAAAAGUAAGGCCUCUCAUCUCUCCAUCUAAAAUCCCCUCCUUUUCUGUUAAUCAUUACUACCUCUUUUAGACCAUUUGUUGUAGCUUUCUUGAAAAAGCUGUGUCUUAUUACUGUGCUUUCAUAUUUCUAUUCUAGGAACUGAAAUUUAUUGAUCUUGUCGGUUUCAGUUGAAAUAAACACAGUAAUUGUUUAGCUUAUUUUUCUAACAAGUUUUGACAUCUUGUUGAUGUAAGUUAUGGUAAAGCUGAAAAGGUUGUUGAUGUUGCUCUCAUUGUAGACGAUGGAACAGGCUGGAUCAGUUGCAGGAAAUGGUUGUGUGUAUUGACAGAAAAAUUCAGUGCAAGUCUUUUAAUUUUGAUCUUCAUUUUUACCUUCUCCUUUUGCUUUAUGGAGUUUAAGUCAGAGAAAGUUUGGUGCUCCAGAAAUCAAAUCAUGAACUUAAAACUUGUUGAUAUACUAAAUCAAAUUUGGGGUUUUUUCUUUGUUGUAGAAACUAGUUUUGACUUGUGUUUAACCUUAGGAGGGUGCAUGAGCACUUUGACAUUGGAAAUGUAGACAGCAGAGUAUGUUACCUGUCCUCUUCAUUUCCCCUGCCAAUGCAUUGUGGUAUGAUUUCUUUAACAUUUUAAAUCUUCUGAUUAUACAAUAGGGACAGACUAUCAUUGUUUUCAUGGAGGCCAUAGGCUUUCCUGACCAGUCUGAGAUUAUUUACUGCUCAUCCUGUUGUUAGAAGAACUGAUUUUGGAAUCCUUAGUUUAUAGAGUGUGCUUUGUCCUCCUA